CCCAAGGUUUCCAGGGGAAGGUUCGUCCGCCCUGGGUUAGUCGGGACCUAAGCUGAGGCCGAAAGGCGUAGGUGAUGGACAACAGGUUGAUAUUCCUGUACUACCGAUAACCGUUUGAGAGAAGGGAUGACACAGUAGGAUAAGCUAAGCACACUGUUGGUUAUGUGUGCCCAAGCAUUGAGGCAGUCAAAGUAGGCAAAUCCGCUUUGAUAAUGCUGGGAUGUGAUGGGGAGCGAAAUUUAGUAGCGAAGUAGCUGAUUUCACACUGUCAAGAAAAGUCUCUAUCGAGGUUAAAGGUACCCGUACCGCAAACCGACACAGGUGGGUGAGGAGAGUAUCCUAAGGCCAGCGAGAGAACUGUUGUUAAGGAACUCGGCAAAAUGACCCCGUAACUUAGGGAUAAGGGGUGCCACCAUCAGGUGGCCGCAGAGAAUAGGCCCAAGCGACUGUUUACCAAAAACAUAGGUUUCUGCUAAGUCGCAAGACGAUGUAUAGGAGCUGACGCCUGCCCGGUGCUGGAAGGUUAAGGGGAUCUGUUAGAGCAAUCGAAGCAGUGAACUUAAGCCCCAGUAAACGGCGGCCGUAACUAUAACGGUCCUAAGGUAGCGAAAUUCCUUGUCGGGUAAGUUCCGACCCGCACGAAAGGCGUAACGAUUUGGGCACUGUCUCAACAACAGACUCGGUGAAAUUGUAAUUCCGGUGAAGAUGCCGGAUACCUGCGACAGGACGGAAAGACCCCAUGGAGCUUUACUGUAGCUUGACAUUGGGUCUUGGUACUACAUGUACAGGAUAGGUGGGAGGCUUUGAAACCAGGACGCCAGUUUUGGCGGAGCCAUCCUUGGGAUACCACCCUUGUAGUACUGGGACUCUAACCAUAG
This 878-nucleotide ribosomal RNA is filed under the name Clostridioides difficile. Its description in RNAcentral is "partial 23S ribosomal RNA". It matches the Rfam family "Bacterial large subunit ribosomal RNA", at positions 1344 to 2231 of the family's 2925-position model. The record is from RNAcentral. Lineage: Bacteria; Bacillati; Bacillota; Clostridia; Peptostreptococcales; Peptostreptococcaceae.